RNAcentral lists this long non-coding RNA (777 nucleotides) under Monodon monoceros (narwhal). RNAcentral describes it as "lncRNA (ENSMMNG00015010346.1)". Lineage: Eukaryota; Metazoa; Chordata; Mammalia; Artiodactyla; Monodontidae. The record is from RNAcentral.
GCCCACUUCAGUCUCUCAGUACUUGACACAUUCCUCCUUUUGAAAGGAUUGAGACGGAUGGAAAGAUUUGGUAUGAAGAUAGGAAAGAUGGAAAAUCAGGAAUAACAAUUGAGGAGUUCCGGAGAAGGGGAACAGAGUUACUGUGGGAAACCAACAAGUCAUUUCAAAGUGAUUAUGCUCAUUGGAGCAAAGGUAGAAAAUGCCAUGAAAAGAAGAAGGUUGCAUUCAUGCUUCUCUUUUGUUUUUCCCUGUCUCAUCACUCAGCUACGUGGUGAUCAACUCAGACUCUGACGAUGAAUACCUCUGUGAGCAAAAGAGAGCUAAGAUAGCUGAAAUACAUUGCAAAGAUGAGAUUCUGGAAGUGUCUGAUACCGAUGAGCAGCCGCCCCAGGGGUCUCCAAUACUUAUCACUGAUGAUGAUGAUGAUGAUCAUAAUGGCUUGGAGGGCCCUGUGCUAAUAGAAGAUGAUUCGUGUGACGAGGACCAAGCUCCCUCAAAUGAGAUAAAGAAGAAUGAGUUUGCUAUCUCCCUACACCAACCAUCUUAUGAUGUUGGUAAGCAGGAUCUUGGGGAAGAUGUCUGCCAGCCACCAAGUGAUGAGCCUAAGGCUGAGCUAGAGAUUUCAGUUGGAAAGUUGUCAAGUGAUGAAGAGCCUGUACGUUUGGUGGCAAAACCAAGGAAAAGGAAAAAUAAAACCAGACACAUACCUGUGACACCUGUUGUUAAAAGAGCAAAGAAGUAUGGGACUUUAAAGAAGAAACCCGGAGCAGCAAAAUU